Phoenix dactylifera (date palm) is the source of this 3267-nucleotide long non-coding RNA. RefSeq lists it as uncharacterized. NCBI's taxonomy places the organism in Eukaryota, Viridiplantae, Streptophyta, Magnoliopsida, Arecales, Arecaceae. The record is from RefSeq and is a predicted model, not a curated record.
GAGCCGCAACCCACGGCCCACAGAAUAUAGUGCAUUAGCUAUUACCGGAACCCUAACCCUAGGAGAGGAAAGAGUCGGCGCCGCUCGGAGUCGAAUCCCACCUUAUUCUUUUGGAAGCAAAACAGCAGAACUCACUCAGACGCGUUUCCGGCGGCAGCUUUCCGGCAUCAUCACAUGGUGGGCUCCUUUACCUUCUCUAGUCUCUUUGAUGGAUUGGUAUAAGAUAGGAUGCGGGGAAAGGACUGUUGAUAUUGACCUCAGGGUGGUUGGAUUUCAUUACAAAGGAUAAAAUUAAAGAGAGUUGGUAGUUGAUUGGACUGGCAGUUGUUGGUAGUUGUUGGAUUGGAAUGGGAGGUUUUGGAAAUAAAGGAGUUGGUAAAUAAUGAAUUUGAUAUAAACCAGAUUCAAUGAGGCUGAUAAGCAUCUCUCGUGCUGCAUCACCAUCAAUAUCCAUGUGAACAGCAAUGUAGAUUUCUUCAAGCUCAUUUUGCUUCUUCAAGAUAAGCUCUUUCAUUUUUUCGCUAGUUUUUAGAAUGUUCUGUCUCUCUCAGAUAGUUUAUGAUGAUGAUAAUUGAUCAAAUAUCUUUAUUUGUCUUGGAGCCAUUUUCCCCAUUGAUUUGGUUACUUAUGUGUGAUAAGUUUGAUAUAAUAUAAUGAUCAUCAUUAGUGGGAUGAGCUCGAAUAUUUGAAGUUGAAGAUUAUCAAAUUUAAAACAGUGUUUUACAUAUUAUGUUGAUUGCCCUUGAUGCUAGAAUCUUCGAUUUUGUAUAUUUUCUCGGAAAAAUAAUUUUGACAGUUUAGUCAGUGCGGAGGAAAUCUAUCAAACAACAAAUAAGUGAAACACAGCAACAAACAGAUGUUAAGAGAAACUUGAACAAAUGGAGAGCUUAUAUAUGAAAUGAUGAAGUUUGCAAUGUUGGCAUACUUUUAGUAUCAGCAAAUCCUGUGUUGAUGCCUUUAGAAUAAAUCUCAGAAAACAUCAGAAAUCUCAAAGAUCUUCAUAUAUAUCCGGAUUGUGGAUUAUUUUCAAGGGUUGAGCAGGAAAGCUUGUUUUCUGUUGACACAAGUCCAGCCCUAAGAAUUUGAGAGUUGUAAUAGUCCAAACAAGAGAACAUGAUGGAGAAGUAGUAUACUUGAAAGGAAAUUGGAACAGAGCCAAAUGGUUUUGAGAUUUUGAAUAGAAGACUGGACAUUUUGAAGAGUCUGGGAUUAUUCAUGAACCUUAAAGGUUGUAUGUUUGACCUUCUCAGCAGUUCCUAUGCACUGUUUUGCACCUUUGCAGAAUCCUAUACUUUCUUGGAAGCUGCAGAUAGAACACUAAACAGGCUUGCAUCUUUUACAACGGCAUGUUGAGAGUAGGUGAAUCAGGAAAUGACAGGGGAACCAUGCACUUCUUGCCAAGUUGGAUGGCUACUAACCUUCAGGGUUGCCAUUAUCGUGUGUGGUGUUGUAGAGAAGACAACCUUAACAUGAAGCUUAAAUGGGCUGAGUUAAUUCCAUAAUCUGCUCUCUGUUUGGCUUUUUCAGAAGCUGAAUCUGAUUGAGUGUACCAGCUGCUGCUGCUAGUGAGAUCGUUGCCUUCUCUGUCUGGUUGCAUGGAUUUUCUUUUGUAUCUUUGGUGACAUGUUGGAGAUGUGAACUGAAUACCACAUUUUGCUGAUAUAUCUGGGCAUCGCUCAGAGCUCGGAGCUGCUUCUCAUCUGGCAAAGCGAGCUGGGAUGGACGCUCUCGAUGCCAUUCCUUGUCAGGAAUCUGCCCCUACAAGGAGAUCAAUUGAAAGAGAUGGGAUCUCUUCUUCAAUUCCCCUCCAAGGGCCCUGGGGAGGGCAGCAAAAAAAUGAACCACCUUAUGAAAACUGUUGCAUUGGUAAAAAUAGACGUUCAUUAGGCCCAGAGCAUGAAUGGGAGCUUCUAUUAGUCUUUGGAGUCUAACCAUGCAUGGCUCAACUCCAAGACUUUGGUGCUAACUUAGCACAAAUACUAGAUUUAGAUUUGUCUGGAAGGGGUUUUUAUUAUUUUAAAAAGAGCCUAGAAGAUCUUACAUUAGGAGGUUAAUAAAUACCACCAUGAAUAAAAAGUUUUAGGAAAUCUAAGUUGUAUUUAGCAAUACUUUAUCAUGAAAUGACAUCUACUACGCUAAUGAUAGGGGAAAGUGUCUCCUGGAUUAGACGAAUUCGGACUUGAUCUUUUGAACCCAUGAACACAAGUCAUUGAUCGAGCCAUCAAAUGCAAACCAUGUUACAUAUAUGGUGAUUGAAUUCAACCAGGCACAACUUUGACAAUCAGAGACAUUUUUAGCUAAAGCCAUGACACUAUCAAGCAUUCUUUCAAAUUUGUCAGAAAAUUACACUAGAAUUAUCUAACAAACCCUUCCAAAAAAGCUAUACAAUAGAAGGACCCUGCCAAAAAAAAAGAGAGAAUGGCAGAACCUAUCUUUCUUCUGAAAAUAUUAUAAAUAAGAUAAUAGGAGAAGGGAGGUGUUUAGCAACUGCUUUUUUUUUUUUUUGUUUUUUGCCAGGUUCUGGAUUCCCGGGUGUUUGACACCAACAGUUCUGAUUGCUGGUAUUGUCACCGUGAUUCUCCAAAAAAAGAAGAAGAAAAGAAACAGUAUUAAUGAUUAUAUGCAUCAUUGUUUGCUGAAUAAAAAUAUUGCUUUCUGGAUUUAUAUGAACAUUUGCAUCAAGAAAGAACUGCUUUUCCUGCCAUAUUACUGCAUUCACUGGCGGAGCCAAGGUUGGGGUAAGGGGGGCAAAAUAAUGAAAUCUAUUUUAGUAUCCUAAUGUAUCACCCAACAUGGCCCUUCAAAAAUAUUAUAGUAGCUGCUAUACAUAUAAUGACUGUAAUACUUCACCAAGAGCAUAACGUAUAGGUGAUAGUUUAGAUCUCAACUCGUGUGUAAUUUCUCUUCCUGAAUGACAUGGUUUCAUUUCCUGAUGGACGAUAGUAUUAUCGAACUUGCUUAACUACUCAUCUUACGAGCUGAAAGACUGACAGAUAUCCCAUUUCCUGAUGAUUUGGCUAAUGAAUGCAGGAUGCAAGACAAAUCAGCUUUCAACACGGUUCUAUGAAUCAAAUCACUUUAAACACUGUUCUGUAAUAUGCUCAAACUAAAAUCUUAGAUGCACAAGUUUCCUUCUUGCUUCUUCUUCUUUCUUUUAUUUCUUAUGUUACAUAUUUUGAAGAAUCUAAAGCAUCUAAUAAGCAAGCUAGUUCACAAAACAAUCUAAACAGGUAUUCUAUCUAUUGGUUUUACAAUAUUUCAUCUACA